UUUAAACAUUCCUUUAAACCUUUCUGUUUGUGCCGUUACUCAUCUCUUUGGCACUCUUCACAGUUCAGAUUUAAACAGCCUUUCAUCAUUUCCCAUUUCUGUUCUGUAUGUGUAAUAAAAACAAAACAAAAGAAAAACUAAUCAGUUACAACUGUCCCUAUUCCCCUCUCAGACUUCCUUGUGAAAGAGCACUCUUCUUUAGUGCAAACCGUCAUCAGCUUCUUAUCUCUCAAACAUUUAGCAAAAAUGAAAGUGCUCCUUCACUUCUAUGGCAGGUUUUAAUAUAUAUAUAUAUAUAUAUAUACACAGAUGACCAGUCUCUUAGCAGAUGUACCAUACGCAGUCCAUGUGCUUGUCAAUCACAAUUCAGAUUUUUAAAAUAUCUUGUAUAUUCAUUCACUGUUAAACUAAUUGCUUUGGAUCAAACUGCCCUCACACAGACACAAAUUUCUUUACCUAAAUGUGUUUAAGUGAUUACAUUGUAGAUGAUUUGCUUUUUUCUUUUUAAUGAUUCUUUGUUAAUCUAAUUGUAGUGAAAGUACAGUGUUUUGCACAAAAUACACUUAACAAGCAAGCUCUUUGUCUCCUGAUACCCUACAUCUUUAAGAGGCGCACCAUGCUGUCGGAGAUGGGGGCGGCCAUUUUGUGCCGUUCUGAUGCAGGAUGAUUCAGUGUCUAAAUCACAGACAUGCUGCAUUGAGUCUGUUGACUUUGCCAGUGUACAGAUUAACACAUUGUCCAUCUAUUAAUAUCAACCCGCUGUGUAAGUGAUGUGAACUGUGAACAAACCAAAAAAGUUGGGAAACUAUUUAUUAAAAUUGUUACAACAUGAGAGACUGGGUGUAUAUUGCUGCAACAAUGUAUAUACAACGUAUAUUAAUAAAGAAUAAAAAAAAGUAACGCUAGAAGGAAUAUGGCUAGAGCUACACAUGUACAUCUUAGCUGCAUUACUCAUCUUCUGGUGUAUUAAGAAUUUAAUGUAAAACAUUAAACACUAACAACAAUGCCACUGUACACCGAUCAGGCAUAACAUUAUGAACAGUGACAGGUGAAGUGUAUAACACUGAUUAUCUCCUCAUCAUGGCACCUGUUAGUGGGUGGGAUAUAUUAGGCAGCAAGUGAACAUUUUGUCCUCAAAGUUGAUGUGUUAGAAGCAGGAAAAAUGGACAAGCGUAAGGAUUUGAGCGAGUUUGACAAGGACCACAUUGUAAUGGCUAGACAGCUGGAUCAGAGCAUCUCCAAAACUGUAGCUCUUGUGGGGUGUUCCCGGUCUUCAGUGGUCAGUAUCUAUUAAAAGUGGUCCAAGGAAGGAACAGUGGUGAACUGGAGACAGGGUCAUGGGCGUCCAAGGCUCAUUGAUGCACGUGGGGAGCAAAGGCUGGCCCGUGUGAUCCGAUCCACUGUUGUUCAAAUUCCUGAAUAAGUUAAUGCUGGUUCUGAUAGAAAGGUGUCAGAAUACACAGUGCGGGGUCAGGGCUGUUUUGGCAGCAAAAGGAGGACCAACACAAUAUCAGGCAGAUGGUCAUAAUGUUGUGCCUGAUCGGUGUAUGGUUGUGGCUCAGCUUGGCAAAUUACCCAGGAGACUUUGUGAGUUUUUGUGAGUGUUUACAAGCAGGAUACCUACACUGAAUAGUUAGCCUUCCUGUCCAAGUAUCGUUAAAGCUGACUUCUUAAUAUGUGAUCCAACUAAAAAUGGCCACUUCCAGUGCCAUCCAUAUUUUAAACAUCAAGUGAGAUACCUUACAUUUCAAUCAUUUCGCCUUAAAAUAAAUUCAAGUAGCUACAUAUGUAAUCUCAGUUGAAACCACAAAGUGCUUGAAAACUCAUGCAAGACCUUUAAUUACUGUGUAAUAAACCACACUCUGUUCAUCUGUUUUGUAGCAAAUGUACAGUGGAGUCAAGUAGUCUGCGACUUUGUUUUGUUAUCGUUAUUUAAAAUAAUAAAUUUUGGCUCUGCAACGUAGUAUUAUUUAAAACAAAGAAAGUAAAUGAAAAUAAAUAUUUAAUACUCCUAAUUCUGCAAUAUUUCCAGGUCCUUAUUUAAAUGUAAGCAAAUGUGUGAUAUUGACCAUGUUAACAGCUUUGUACAAAAGAUACUGUUAUACAUGCUGUUAUUACACCUAAAAGGAGAUGAACCAAUUAUAAUGGAAGUUGUUGUAUAAAAUAGAAAAUGAUGCAAAACGGAAGCAUUUUUCACUAGUGCUCUCAGAUUACUGGGCUCCACUGUAUCUGUUGUGCAAUCAGAAUGUACUUUUUUUUUAUUAAAUGCUGACAAAUAACUAAUAGUAACUAAACAGAUUUAUUUUGACAAUGGACUAAAUACAAUAUAGUCUACAAUGUGUCUGACACCCCUGCCCUAAAUGCUUGAGAUAUAUCAUUAAAAACACACCACAUCACCCUAAACGGUGUUUACCAAAGUGUAUUAGUGUUGUUUGCUCCAAUAUAUGUGAAUGUGUCAGAAUGGUUGGUGAUUCAUAUUUUCUGUUCGAACAGCUUGAAAGGGUGAUAAAUGGGUAAAGGAGUGGGCAAGAAAAAGUGCCUCACAAUCAGAAUCAGAUUGCUGCUAUGUUUAAUGCUGCUCUGCCACACCAGGUAAACAAACUACUGCAUUAGUAACUGGGAAAUAAAAGGAAAUAUGGGCUGUGCUGUGAUAAAGGUCCACUAAGUUGGCAAAAAAAAAAAAAAAAUCAGUAUUUCUAAGCAUUGUAAAUAAAACAUGAGAGGCAUAGGGAACUUGGGAAAAUGAAAAUACAAUUAUAAAAUAAAAAUAAAAAUAAAAAAACCCAUUACUGAUAUGUUAAGAGAUGGAAACAAUAAAUCUAAUCAUUUCAGCUGGAGAGCUUUAAUGUACUAUUUCUAAAAUUAUUUUAUAUGAAAAAAUUUUCUUGUUUUUAUGUUUCUGAUUAUCACCACAUGCCUCAUCACUGUUUCACUCAGUACUUUGAACUAGACCACUAGAAACUGACCAUUUCAGGGGAUUACACAUGGCAAUAACAGAGCAAUUGUACUGAACUUCUCAUACUGGGAUUGAGUGUUAAUAUGUCCAGGAAGGGUUUGGGCUCUGUGUUUUGAAUCAUAAGAAUUCUAUAUAUACUAUACAGAUGUUACUACAUGCUUAGAAAAGUAAUAAGGUCAUAUGAUAUUGGAUCAAAUGAAGUGGCUUGUGAACUCAACAGUGCAGGCAGAAAAUCAAGGAUCAUGGAGUCAAGUAACAGAUCAACCAUUAAGCACAUUUGUGCUCCUAGGAAAUUAAAUAAAGUGGUUGGUUUUGCACAGACUGUGAAUGUGGCGCAUAUGCAGUGAAUAUAGAUUAAGUUCAACUGCCAGUAUUUACACAGGGAGACAUCCAUUCAGAUAUUGUAAUUUCCGCCAUGCACUGUUCAGGUGUCUGAGCACUUGUCUUAAAAUCCCAAAUAUCAGGGGCUUAAAAUACAGUUUAGACUAAUUAGACCAUUUCUUUCUUAAUUUAUUAAGUAUUUAUUAUUUAUUCAGUCAUCUUCAGCAACUGCAUCACAAGGUGCAUUAGCCAAAUGUAAUGUAAGCAAGGAUGAUGAAUAUUCCUCUGCGGAGAUUUCACCAAAAAUGUGUCUUAAUUUAACAAUAUAAAUUUUACCCCCAUUAAUUACUUCUAAGGCCAUGUUUUGGGGUGGGGGUGGGGGGGUCAGUCCACCAGAUUUUAAAAUCUGCCCAAAAUAAGGCAUAUCCUUCAACGUCCUGUAUGAGCAAGAAACAAAAUAAUAGAUUUAAUUUUGCCCUUAAUUAUUUGUUUUAGGGUGAAAUGCCGUGGUUAUAAUAAAUUGUCACCCAGAAGUGGCGGACUUAAUGCUGGUCAAUAUGCAAAAAUUUAAAGAAAAGCAAAACACAGUCACAGGGUUUGGGGUAAAAUUGUUUAGAACUGAGAUAUGCCUCUGUUCUUGUCCCUGUGAACAAAUAGCAAUUAUCUGUCAGAGUAGAUUAAUAAAGCUGUGGGGUAGUUUUUUGUUGGUGAGGCAAAAAAACAGUGGUCUCUUCAUUGUGAGAAUGUAUUACUUAGUGGACCUUUAACUAAUUAUUGCCUUCUACUCCAAUUCAUAUCUGAAUGAUCUCCAUCUUUCCCACGUGAAAUAUUUGUCUAACUAGUAGAUGUCACUUCCAGUCUUUGUUUGAGUCUUGCUUCACAUUCCCAGACAUCUUCAUUCUGCAUGAUCACAUUAUCUUUUUCUCUUUAUUCAUUCUCUCUGUCACGCUCCCCCUAGCUCUCUCAACAUAACAUAAUGCCGGGAUGCUAUAUGAAAUGCACUUGCUCUGAAUGAAAGCAAACUCUUUAAGGCUUUCUAGAGUAUAACACUCUACUCCUCUAUAUCUGAGCUUGGCGAAGCUCACUGAUGCGCUGUCAGUAUGUGUGCAGCUUGAUGAAUGAGAUUAUAAUAUUGCGCUCAUUCACCUUCCCCUCCUUACUGCAAUAGCUUCUAAACAUCGGAAACCCAAAAGAGAGCAUGCCUACUACUUUAGCCCCUUGUAUCUGAUGAAAAUAAUGUGUCAGUGUGCUAGUAGUGUUAAUGUUGUCUGCCGCAAGCCAUUUUUCAGUGAACAUUUGGCAGUUGCUUUUCUUUUCUUUGCUUUUUUUUUUUUUUUUUUGGAAUGAUAACCCUUUUUGUUUAUUCUUAGCUUUACAGAAUGACAUUUUCAGUUCCCUAGGUUUAUUUUAUUACUUUGAUCUCAUUAAAAACAAAAAGAAAAGUCUAGUAUCCCAAAAGGAUAAAUUGAACAUUUGCCAAAAUACCUUGAGAUGAAACCAAAGGUUUUUGUCUUAUUCUGUUAAAAAAAGAAAUCUGGAACAUAAGAAAAAUGAUCUUUUACUGUUUUUUUGUGCUUUACAUGAUGCCUACAGCCUAUUGGUUGGUAAGAAGCUUACGAUUUAAGAUACUACAGUCCUGCUUUACCUUGAAUGCCCUGUGACCAUUGACCUUUUGCUCCUGAAACAUGCUGAAAGUGCUCUUUGCUCUAUUGACCCCACAUUUGAUUCCAGCAGGUUGACUCAGGAAUGGGUAGGAAAAGCAGGAGAAUGGAUAGAGAAAGAGAGAGUGCACGUCACACUAAAGGGCGUGUGCUGUCCUCUCUGUGCGAUCAUACACACUCAAGCCAAGUGUGUGCAUUCUCUCUCGUGCACUCCUUCAUGAGGCCUGGUCCAUGUCUAAGUUCAAAAACAGACUGACUCAAGUGUCAGGGACAAAACAAGUUGGCCAUCCUCACAUACUAAGAGAGGGAGAGAGCGAAAUUAAUGAAUGAGAUAAAAUAGCGAGCGGUUGGUCCUCAGCCUCCUGCUCUCGUUCUCUCUCCCUCCGUCUUGGUUUGUUGUUCGUCACAAAAGAGGGAUGGAUAUAGUGUGGAAGCUCUUCGCAUGGAGCAGCUCCUUCGUAAAAUUGUGCCAAAGCUUGUGUUUUUGCUGGAAAAUGAAAUGACCUGUUUAUAUUUAUACUGUAAAUAACAAAAACCUGGAAAUUAGACACCUAACUUUACCUUCAUGGAUUCAUGUAAUUUUGCUCCUAUGACCUCCUGUCUGAUUCUCUGUAAAUACACACAUAAAUUUCAUCACUAGAGGAAAAACUGUUGGUUCAUGUAUUUUGUGCUAAGUCAUCUGCCUAAACAAAGUGGUGUAAGUGGAGGUAGCAGCUCAAUGGAGAUUUUCUUUUUUCUUUAUUUAUUUCUUUAUUUUAAUUUUUUAAACAAUGCAAAAA
Molecule: long non-coding RNA, 5717 nt
Organism: Hemibagrus wyckioides
Lineage: Eukaryota; Metazoa; Chordata; Actinopteri; Siluriformes; Bagridae
Exons: 2
Source: RefSeq, a predicted model, not a curated record